Molecule: transfer RNA, 76 nt
Filed under: Deltaproteobacteria bacterium
Lineage: Bacteria; Pseudomonadati; Myxococcota; Myxococcia
Description: tRNA-His
Rfam family: tRNA
About the family: Transfer RNA (tRNA) molecules are approximately 80 nucleotides in length.
Source: RNAcentral
GUGGGCGUAGCUCAGACGGCAGAGCACCAGGUUGUGGCCCUGGUGGUCGCGGGUUCAAGUCCCGUCGCUCACCCCA